UAAAUAAUAGUAUAAAAUUAUAUUCAGUUUCGACCUGAAAGACGGUUUAAACCUUAUUUAU
RNAcentral lists this transfer RNA (61 nucleotides) under Trinorchestia longiramus. Its description in RNAcentral is "tRNA-Arg". The record is from RNAcentral. Lineage: Eukaryota; Metazoa; Arthropoda; Malacostraca; Amphipoda; Talitridae.